CCUUCAAUUGAACUCAAAAUUCAGCAAUUAGUGGUGAUUUUAGACACAAUUCAAAUGCAUGUGCUUAAUUACUCCAUAAUCCAAGUGUCUUGAACAUAAGGAUUGAAAGAAGAAGGAGGAAGUUCCGGUGCACAACAAAAAGCUCAAGAACGAGGUAAAUCUCAUGCUUAGGAUGGCGAGCUCGGAUCGAACACACCACAUCAUCCAUAUAUGCGCUUCCGGUUAAAGUCGCCUUCUUGUAAAAGGGUCAAAAUGAUUUUUGUGAUGUAA
Helianthus annuus (common sunflower) is the source of this 270-nucleotide long non-coding RNA. RefSeq lists it as uncharacterized. Lineage: Eukaryota; Viridiplantae; Streptophyta; Magnoliopsida; Asterales; Asteraceae. The record is from RefSeq and is a predicted model, not a curated record. The transcript has 3 exons.